RNAcentral lists this ribosomal RNA (470 nucleotides) under uncultured bacterium. RNAcentral's name for it is "partial 16S ribosomal RNA". It matches the Rfam family "Bacterial small subunit ribosomal RNA", at positions 28 to 507 of the family's 1533-position model. The record is from RNAcentral.
GACGAACGCUGGCGGCGUGCUUAACACAUGCAAGUCGAACGCUGAAGCACCAGCUUGCUGGUGUGGAUGAGUGGCGAACGGGUGAGUAAUACAUGAGUAACCUGCCCUUGACUCUGGGAUAAGCCCGGGAAACUGGGUCUAAUACUGGAUGCUACAUGUCACCGCAUGGUGGUGUGUGGAAAGGGUUUACUGGUCUUGGAUGGGCUCACGGCCUAUCAGCUUGUUGGUGAGGUAAUGGCUCACCAAGGCGACGACGGGUAGCCGGCCUGAGAGGGUGACCGGCCACACUGGGACUGAGACACGGCCCAGACUCCUACGGGAGGCAGCAGUGGGGAAUAUUGCACAAUGGGCGAAAGCCUGAUGCAGCGACGCCGCGUGAGGGAUGACGGCCUUCGGGUUGUAAACCUCUUUCAGCAGGGAAGAAGCCACAAGUGACGGUACCUGCAGAAGAAGCGCCGGCUAACUACGUG